Puntigrus tetrazona (Sumatra barb) is the source of this 1308-nucleotide RNA transcript. It is a transcript of the gene named selenoprotein T, 1b, with no coding region annotated. Lineage: Eukaryota; Metazoa; Chordata; Actinopteri; Cypriniformes; Cyprinidae. The transcript has 6 exons. The record is from RefSeq and is a predicted model, not a curated record.
UUCUGCGUCUAUUUCCGGGUGAAGUCAGAGCAGGGAUUCCGCGAGCGGACUGUGCAGGAUGGAAACGCGAUGUUUAUGGCUGUUACUGGUCUGCGUGCUGUCACUGAAUCGUGCCAGGGCGGACAAUGGCAGCGUUAAAAAGAUGAAAAUGCAAUAUACAGGAAUGCCACUGCUGAAGUUUCAGAUUUGUGUGUCCUGAGGGUACAGGCGGGUGUUUGAAGAGUACACUCGGGUUCUCAGCCAGAGGUACCCAGACAUCCGCAUCGAGGGAGAAAGCUUCCUUCCACAGCCUCUCUACAGACACGUAGCUUCCUUCUUCUCUGUCUUCAAACUUGCAGUGAUUGGUUUAAUCAUCCUGGGCAAGGACCCUUUCACCUAUUUCAACAUGGAGACUCCGGGAAUCUGGCUUUGGGCGCAAGAGAAUAAGAUAUAUGCCUGCAUGAUGGUGUUCUUCCUCAGCAACAUGAUAGAAAACCAGUGCAUGUCCACUGGCGCCUUUGAAAUCUCCCUUAAUGACGUGCCUGUAUGGUCCAAGCUGCAGUCGGGACACCUGCCCUCCAUGCAGCAGCUGGUGCAGAUCCUGGAGAAUGAGAUGAAGCUGAGUGCACACAUGGACUCUCUCCCGCACAGACGGGCGUAGAGGUGCAGGAGCGAAACAGACUGGAUGUGGCUUGUGGGUAUCCCACUGGGGUUUCGUGAGUGAUGCGAGGCCCUGGUGUGUGUGUGAGAUGGCGUUAAUGAAGGUUUGCACUAAAGGCAGUGUGUCUGCUGGUGUGGACUGGAUGUCCGGCUCUCUCUCGCUGCUCCGCGGGUCUCUCCGUACCCACAGCCCUACAGUCCAUGGCUAGGAAUUACGGAGAAAAUUGAAGGGUUCGCUUGCAGAUAUUCUGCAGUCAUCGACCAAUUAAAACACACGCUGUUAAGUGCGUUUAAAGCGGUGUUAAACAGUGUUUACCUGUUUUUAGAGUGUGUGUAGUAGACUGCUGCAUUAAUGACUUCAGAUUCUUGUAGUAUCUGCAGAACUACACUUCUGUAUAUGAUUUCUCGCUCGUUUUUUUUUUUUUUUAUGCUUUCGUCAUAUGAUUUUUUUUUUGUUGCCAAUUUAUUAAUUACAGUAAUAUUUGCAGCAAUUCUCUGUGUAUGUUUAGACAGCGGCACUCGUUAAGAAAUAUAAACCGUUAUGUAAAUGUAUCCGAUGACUAAAUAUGUGCACAUCAUCAAGGAUGCACUUUGAUACAUUUAGAUUUUUGAUAAUUUGUAAUGUUUGUUUUUACUGUUUCGAAUAAAUUCGGUCAAUGGACGUUUAAA